GUCAACAACUAUGAAGGUAACUCACUUCGUAGUUGUCCGCCUCCAGUGGCUUGCUAGGACGAGGCAGGCACAGACCUGUACUAUAAUUACUCGCAAAUUUCAAAGAAAGGUGUUGCCAUAAGUGAUGUGACAUCUACUUUAAGGACUUAUGGCCAUUGGUCACGCAGAAACAGUAUAAAAGUGGAGUCUCUGGUCUACCUGAUCCAGCGAUCGCCCGACCUGUAAGGAUGAAGGUGUCUAUCCUGAUCCUACUCGGCCUCCUGGCUAUGGCCUCUGUCACAGACGGACAACUUAAUGUCAUCGUACAGCUGGCGCAGCUGCUGGAGGUGAAUAUCAACGUGGGGAACUGUAUUACCGAGUGUCCAAAAAUUGUUGGUCUUCUGCAGAGCAAACUGUGCAGACAGUGCUGCUGCCUCUUGUACCCAGUUCUUUGCAUUGCCUAACGAGACUUCUUUUCAAGCAACACGAUCUUGCAGCUGAAGAUGUGAAAUAAAAAUUUCAUGUUCAGCAAA
Long non-coding RNA from Pomacea canaliculata, 512 nucleotides. RefSeq lists it as uncharacterized. NCBI's taxonomy places the organism in Eukaryota, Metazoa, Mollusca, Gastropoda, Architaenioglossa, Ampullariidae. The record is from RefSeq and is a predicted model, not a curated record. The transcript is spliced from 5 exons.